CGGAUUGGAGUCUGCAACUCGACUCCAUGAAGUCGGAAUCGCUAGUAAUCGUGGAUCAGAAUGCCACGGUGAAUACGUUCCCGGGCCUUGUACACACCGCCCGUCACACCAUGGGAGUGGGUUGCAAAAGAAGUAGGUAGCUUAACCUUCGGGAGGGCGCUUACCACUUUGUGAUUCAUGACUGGGGUGAAGUCGUAACAAGGUAACCGUAGGGGAACCUGCGGUUGGAUCACCUCCUUACCUUAAAGAA
Molecule: ribosomal RNA, 250 nt
Filed under: Escherichia coli
Lineage: Bacteria; Pseudomonadati; Pseudomonadota; Gammaproteobacteria; Enterobacterales; Enterobacteriaceae
Also listed under: 1 other name
Description: partial 16S ribosomal RNA
Rfam family: Bacterial small subunit ribosomal RNA
Source: RNAcentral